This 457-nucleotide ribosomal RNA is filed under the name uncultured ciliate. Its description in RNAcentral is "eukaryotic LSU rRNA". The stretch from base 115 to 260 matches the Rfam family "5.8S ribosomal RNA". The record is from RNAcentral. Lineage: Eukaryota; Ciliophora.
AAGGAUCAUUCAUAAUUUAUGCAAUGUUCUUCUUGAAUGUUUGUUCUCUGCUGGUUUACCAGCAAGUUUACCUAUUCUAGGUUUUUACAGUUAUUAAACAAUCUAAAUAUCUUAAAUUUUCAACGAUGGAUAUCUGGGCUCCUAUACCGAUGAAGAACGCAGCGAAAUGCGAUACGCAAUGCGAAUUGCAGAACCGCGAGUCAUCAGAUCUUUGAACGCAAGUGGCGAUAGCUUCGGCUAUCAUGUUUGUUUCAGUGUAUCCGGUUAAUUACAUCCAAGAACUUAAUGUGAUUGAGCAAUCUCUCACCAAGCAUGGAGCCGCCUUGUUGCGACGCCCAACCGAAGCAGUCACUAACAGGUGAUCAUCGUUUGGAGCGCCGCAGCAGUGAAUGGAGGCUUAGUAACCGUUUAUCCACUAUUGAUACCUGAAAUAAGCGAGGCUAUCCGCUGAACUUAA